Molecule: long non-coding RNA, 182 nt
Organism: Ostrinia nubilalis (European corn borer)
Lineage: Eukaryota; Metazoa; Arthropoda; Insecta; Lepidoptera; Crambidae
Exons: 2
Source: RefSeq, a predicted model, not a curated record
UUCUACUCAUCCACUGAUCCCAACGCCCGUGAGGACUGGGAGCGUAUAGUAGGAGGCACCAAAGCUGCAAACGGCUCCAUUCCAUACCAGGUCUCACUAAGAUUUUGGGGCGUAUGGCACUUCUGCGGGGCAUCCCUGGUCACUCCGCGGGUCAUACUGACUGCAGCUCAUUGUGUUGACAG